This 95-nucleotide transfer RNA is filed under the name Desulfuromonas sp. RNAcentral describes it as "tRNA-Sec". It matches the Rfam family "Selenocysteine transfer RNA". The record is from RNAcentral. Lineage: Bacteria; Pseudomonadati; Thermodesulfobacteriota; Desulfuromonadia; Desulfuromonadales; Desulfuromonadaceae. RNAcentral also lists the same sequence under 2 other names.
GGAGGUAGUUAGUAGCCUGGUGGCGCUCACGGUCUUCAAAACCGAUGGGGGGCGUUCACGUCCCCGGUGGGUUCGAUUCCCAUCUACCUCCGCCA